GUGAAUCAUCGAAUCUUUGAACGCACCUUGCGCUCCUUGGUAUUCCGAGGAGCAUGCCUGUUUGAGUGUCAUUAAAUUCUCAACCCUUCCAGCUUUUGUGGCUGGUUGUGGCUUGGAUGUGGGGGUUUUUGCAGGUCUCUCUAGAGAUCAGCUCCCCUAAAAUGCAUUAGCGGAACCGUUUGCGAUCCGUCACCGGUGUGAUAAUUAUCUACGCCAUCGACAAUGAACGCUCUCUGUUUUGUUCUGCUUCUAACUGUCUUGCAAAAGACAACUUUAUUGAACUUUGACCUCAAAUCAGGUAGGACUACCCGCUGAACUUAA
This 321-nucleotide ribosomal RNA is filed under the name uncultured fungus. Its description in RNAcentral is "eukaryotic LSU rRNA". The stretch from base 1 to 71 matches the Rfam family "5.8S ribosomal RNA", at positions 84 to 154 of the family's 154-position model. Lineage: Eukaryota; Fungi. The record is from RNAcentral.